GCCUUCUGUGCCUGGCAGCCCCCAUCUGGGAAAUGCGGAGGUUGGGGAGGGCUUGGAUCAGAAAAGUCUGAGGGGCUGAGAGAGUCAGGGGCUUUCCCAAGACCGGGGUUUGGUUCCAUCCCUACCUGAUGCAAGUUUUCCACGGUUGAUAACACCUUCCCUGACAAUCCAUAGAGAUAGAUGCAAGGACCAAACGAGGAACCCAGAAACGCUUUGUCAGCUAUGCAGUGCUGUCCACGUGCAGAGAACCGAAAUUAUUCUUUUUUUUCCAGGUGCCUCUUUGUCCUCAAGGGUCAAAGAUUCAUCAAGAACCUAACUAGUUUUAGCCGGGCGGCAAUCUCUCCCAGUGCUGAACACCUAGUGCGGACCAGGCACUUCAUCUGCCUGUCUCUGGUCUUCCAGACUACCCUGUGAAGUAUUAUCCACGGCAGCCAGGAGACCCAGAAGUACGCACAGAUAAGACCUGGUUUACUGAUAGCACAUUACAAAGCGUACCAAGUAAUCGUCCAUCCAGACUCUCCCGCCCUAUAAAUCAUACAAUCCGAUUUCACAGAAGAGAGAACUGAGGUUCAGAGAUGGGAAACGUCUGCCUCAGGGGCUCCCAGCUAGGAAGCAACAGGGUGAGGACUAGUGUGCGGGCAUUUCUGACUCCAAAGCCAGGGUGUCUUGUCCCCGCCCCAAUCUGCUGUCAGGCAAAAGAUGGCAGGACUUGCCGAGGGAGCUGAAGGGUGACGGCUGGAGGGGCCGAUCCCCAAUGAUGAGCGAGGUAACAGUUCUCACAGUGGCUAAACAAAGAGCCCUUGCAGUCCGGCUGCCUGGGUUCGAGUCUUGUUCUGUCCCUUCUUAGUUCUGUGCCCUCGGGCAAGCCACUGGUCCUCCCUGAGCCUCAGUUUCCUCGUCUGUAAAAUGGGGAUGGUAAUAAUGUUGCCCACCUCGUUGUGUUGUUGGAGGGUUAAAUUAGAAGCGUGUGGCACACAGCAAGCACAGUGAAAGUCUUGCCUCUUAUUUGCUGGCACCUUGUAUGACAUUUGCUAGAGGCCUCCUGUCUCGUCUACUAUUAAUACUGCCUUUAUAGCACUGCGUGUUCCGGAGCCUGGCCACCUGGGCUCUGCCACUUGCUAGCUGUGUGGUCUAGAGCUUAGAGGGAGACUGAAGGUCAGGCUCAUGAAGUUUAAGCCUUGGGUCGCUCCCUUGCGAGGCCUUGUGCAUCAUUUUGUAUUCAUAAUUUCCUAUUAUUUUUCUUAACGGGGUUCCCCAGUGUGGUAUACGCUCUACUCACAUCCUGCAAAAUGUGGAUCCGCCCCUGUGUGCGCAACACGCUCGGCCUCUCCGGUGCCUCAGUUUUCUCAUCUGUUAAGUGGAAAGAGUGUUACGGUGCCGAUGAAGUGAAUGAAUACGUUUAGGACGCUUGAAAAGUGCCUGGCACGUUGUUAAUUCCCCGAAAGCUGUCGGCUUCUCAAGUAAAUCUCCAGCUAGUGGAUAUGCUAAGUGCUAGUAAAUGUGCUUCGUGGUUUACAUUGGUCAUGUUAUUUAAUUAUGCUUAAUUGUCACAACAACCCCUCCCAUUUUACAGGUGAGAACACAGAGGCUCGGAGAGGUGAGGUCACAGAGCUUGGAAGCCACAUGGGUCUGAUGCCAGGGCCAUGCCCCUUAACUAUUGCCCUGAUACCUCCCUGUUUAUGAGGGGCGCCUGGCAGCUGAACCUGAAGGACUCGGGUCACACCGCAGCCAGGCACUGCCUGCCAGGCCACUUGCAGGGAAUCCAUGAGGCCCCUGCCGGGGAAGAGCUCCCCGUCCCCCCCAAGUCCAGCUGGGCCCCCCUGGCUCUGCCACACCUAGUGCCCUCGUCCCUCCUGCCCCCUAGAGCUUCCUCUUGAGCCCCUGUCACCAGAGGCCCUGGCCCAGGUGGGGCGGGGGCCAACGGGUGACAAUGACCGAUUUAGAAAGUAAAGUUGCUUCUCAAACAAAUAAGAAAGAAGAGGAAAGAAAGAAAUGGCCUGCCCGCUUCCUGCCCCACUCUCUCUCCCAGCACCUGGGGCCCAGCUGUGAGCUUUUCACUGCUUGUUUGUUCAUCCUGCUCGAGGAGCCUCUUCUUAAAGCUCCAGGCCCCCUCCACGGGGGCGGCGGGAUGACUGUGGAGCCAAUGGAAAUAAGCACCCUCCAUGAUUGUUGUAUUGUCGCCGUCUAGAGUAUUGUUUUGGACAACAAUACCAAUAAUCAUAACAAUCUGGGUUUCCUGCCGUUGGCAGAGGGGGGGUUAUCGGCUUCGACUUGGGUGUGGCCGUCCUGGCUGCGAUUUCUGAGGUGUGAAGGCCUGCGCAGGUCAUUAGCUCUCUCUGGGCCUCCGUUUCCUUGCCUGCAAAGUGGGAAUGGGGGCAUGGUGAGCGCCGGAGGAGGCAAGCAAGAGCGCGUACCACGCAGGGCACGGCCGCUGCUGAGUCGGUUACCAAAGCCAGGGUCACCCAAGAGCACGACUUUAAGAGCCUCCCCAGACGUAGUGGGAAAACUCGGUGGACUAGGAGGGGGUGAUAACGCCUGUUGUGUUCCAGCCUCCGUUGUAAGGGCUUUAUGUACAACAACUCACUUCAUCCUCACCAUGCCGCAUGUGUGCAUACUGUCAGAUGAAGACACCCAAGAGUGAUUUGCCCAAGGUCAGUGCAUCUGGCAGGUGCAGAGCCAGGCCGAACCCAGCCUGUCCCGCUCCAAAACCGGCGCUCUUCUUAGGGGCAUACGCUGCCCUGGGGGCAGGUCUGACUGCAUAGGGUCUGCUUUGCUGCAUCACCGUGGACAAGCCCUUUCCUUCUCAGCCUCAGUUCUCGAUCUGCAAGCUGAACAGCCCACGGUACCUGACUCCAGACAGCAUACAGCCCGCAGGGAAAGUCAUGGUCAGAUUUCGUGACAGUGUAGAGAAAGACAAUGGAUGAACAUAUCAGGGGCUCUGGAAGCCACGGCUGCCGCUGCCAUAAUUAUUAUUAGUUUUAGAGUCACAGGCGAGAGUCAGCCUAGAGGAUGCUGAGGGCCCUGCCCAGCUCUGCAAAUCUAAAUCCUGUGGUUGCAGCUGGGGAGUGACUCUAGGAGGCACCUGGUGAGAGGUGGCUCUACCCGUUGGGGCUAAAAUAAUCCCUGAGGCUGCCGCCAUGCAAUCUGUCACUCACCUGCCCUAAUUAAUGGCAAACUCACCAACCCUGCCCCUCCGCCUCACUCCCAUCCCCCACGAGCUGUGUGGCCCUGGAGAAAUCACUCGACCUCUCUGAGACAGGAAAAGGACAUGACCCUGCAGAAUUUUGAUGGAUUAGAGAUAAUGCAGACAGAGUACUCAGCACAGUGCCUGAUGUGUGGUUGAGAAGAGGUGAUGAGAACCUGAGUUUGGGGGCCGACCCAUGUUCCAUUCCCGGCUACACCAUUUCCUAUUGUGUACCCUCAGGCAAGUUCCUUGCACUCUCUGAGCCUGGAAAAUGGGUUAGCACAGCACCCGGCAUACAGUAGUUGUUUACCUAACGAUUGUGGUUGGUGGUGACCGUGUCUGGCCCUCUAUAAAGAUGUCCAGAGGCCUUCAAAGAUCCCAGGGGUAUAAUGUUCUCCACAGUGCUGGGUUUCUCUGUUUGCCCCUCUAGAACUCCCCUCUGCCCUUCUCCAUCCUGUUCUGUGCCCUGGCAGGUGAACUCUGGGGUGCCAUCAAUGGCCUCUUUUGCCCUCUGGUUCUGGUUGGGUGGGGCAGGAAGGCAGAGGGCAGGUGGAGAAUGGGGCAGAGUGAUUCCCCCAGCCCCUUGCUACAGGGUUGCACGGGUUGGCUGUGUCCCUCACCCAAAGGCUCUGGCUCCUGGUAGGCGACCCCGUGCAUCCAUCUCUGGCCCUGAGUCCGGGUCGCUUCUCCCUCUUCACCCUUCAGGCCGUGGGUGGUAACGGCUCCCCACUGUGGCCAGCCCUGGGAUACUGCACCAUCCCUCCCGGUCUCCCUGAAUCCUGCCUGCGUCUUUGGUAAUAGUCUCUUGAUUAAACCCUCUUCAAACUUCUCAACUUGAGUGUACCGUCUGUUUCCUGCCAAGGCCCUGCUCAUGGUUUUAGUGUGACAUGUAUCCUGUCGUAUUCGUCAAGGACUCCAGGCCCCGUACAGCUAGCUGGGAGCAGAGAUAACCGAGCUAGAGCUCCUGACGCCAAGGAGUUCAUGGACUAGAUGGGGAGACAGACGCCUAAACAGACAACCACAGUAUUUGCUAAGAAGCCAUUAUAGAAGCGUGUUCAAACCCUGAGGCAAGAGAAACCCUCAAACUCUGAGGGAGGCUGGGAAGGCUGCAUAGCAGAGGGACCUCCUCAAAGGUAAAAAAAAAUUCUUAAUAACAUAUUUUAUCUAACCCAAUAUUUCAAGGUAUUAUCAAUGUAUAAUAUCACUUAAAAGUGAUACAGAAAUCCUUAAGAAUUGUAACAUUUUUUCCCCUAAGUCUUAAACAGCCCAGUGCGUCUUUUACAUGCACGGCACGUCUCCGCUCGGCCGGUCCCCAUUUCAGGGGCUCAGGAGCCACAGGGGGCUGUUUCCCCCCACUUUACAGAUGAGGAAGCAGAGACUCAGGAGUUAAGUCACUUGUCCGAGGUCCCACUCCCCGAUGGCGGCAUGAUGUGAACCCACGUCUCUGUAGCUCCAAAGCCUGUCUCUUCCCGCUGCCCUGUUCUGUCUCUGGGCCAACCCCUGCUCCCCAGAGUGAAGACUUGGCCGAGGGCUAAAAAGUUAAAACUUCACCUGAGGUGAACUUCACCUCUGACCCCAAAUCCUGUAAUAUUUCUACGUCGGUUGAGUCCAUGGGACAGAGUGGGGGAGGGUAACCCACCAAACUGGGUUCUGGCCCCUGUUCGGUCUAGGGUCCCUGGGAGGGCGUGAAGAUAGGCUGGCAGGAGAGAACUGGGGACCACUGGUGAGUUGUAAGAGUCUCUUGCCGGGGGAGCUGUUAAUGGCUGGAAGGCACGGCCUGCGUUGGACGGGAGGUCUGCAGAGGUAACAGACUAGGCGCACCGGACGGUGCCAGCAGGUCAACUUGGCAUCUUCUCCUCCACCACACUCAGCGGUUCCUCCCUAGGCAAAACACCGUAUCAUCCAGAAACACCCACUCCUGAGUACGUAGGGUCACAGUGAAUAAGUCACUGUCAUUUUCACACCGAUGCGGGGGAAAUUUCGAUGGGAUGAAAAGGUAAGGCCUUCUUCUUUUUUUUUUUUUUAAUAUUUAUUUAUUUUUGAGAGACAGAGACAGAGCGUGAG
This is a long non-coding RNA of Lynx canadensis (Canada lynx), 5248 nucleotides long. RefSeq lists it as uncharacterized. NCBI's taxonomy places the organism in Eukaryota, Metazoa, Chordata, Mammalia, Carnivora, Felidae. The transcript has 3 exons. The record is from RefSeq and is a predicted model, not a curated record.